Molecule: ribosomal RNA, 449 nt
Filed under: uncultured bacterium
Lineage: Bacteria
Description: partial 16S ribosomal RNA
Rfam family: Bacterial small subunit ribosomal RNA
Source: RNAcentral
GUGGGGAAUUUUGGACAAUGGGCGCAAGCCUGAUCCAGCAAUGCCGCGUGCAGGAAGAAGGCCUUCGGGUUGUAAACUGCUUUUGUACGGAACGAAACGGUCCGGGUUAAUACCCUGGGCUAAUGACGGUACCGUAAGAAUAAGCACCGGCUAACUACGUGCCAGCAGCCGCGGUAAUACGUAGGGUGCAAGCGUUAAUCGGAAUUACUGGGCGUAAAGCGUGCGCAGGCGGUUUUGUAAGACAGGCGUGAAAUCCCCGGGCUCAACCUGGGAACUGCACUUGUGACUGCAAGGCUAGAGUGUGUCAGAGGGAGGUGGAAUUCCGCGUGUAGCAGUGAAAUGCGUAGAGAUGCGGAGGAACACCGAUGGCGAAGGCAGCCUCCUGGGAUAACACUGACGCUCAGGCACGAAAGCGUGGGGAGCAAACAGGAUUAGAAACCCGAGUAGUC